RNAcentral lists this ribosomal RNA (480 nucleotides) under uncultured bacterium. Its description in RNAcentral is "partial 16S ribosomal RNA". It matches the Rfam family "Bacterial small subunit ribosomal RNA", at positions 28 to 507 of the family's 1533-position model. The record is from RNAcentral.
GACGAACGCUGGCGGCGUGCUUAACACAUGCAAGUCGAACGAUGAAGAAAAGACUUGAAGCUUCGGCAGAAAUUCAUUUCGGAUUAGUGGCAGACGGGUGAGUAACGCGUGAGCAACCUACCUCUUACAAAGGGAUAGCCUCGGGAAACCGGGAUUAAUACCAUAUAACAUUGCGACGAAGCAUUUCGAUGCAAUCAAAGCUACGGCGGUAAGAGAUGGGCUCGCGUCCCAUUAACCAGAUGGUGAGGUAACGGCUCACCAUAGUAACGAUGGGUAACCGGCCUGAGAGGGUGAACGGUCACACUGGAACUGAGACACGGUCCAGACUCCUACGGGAGGCAGCAGUGGGGAAUAUUGCACAAUGGAGGGAACUCUGAUGCAGCGACGCCGCGUGAGUGAUGAAGGAAUUCGUUUCGUAAAACUCUGUUCUAUGGGAAGAAAAGGACUGUACCAUAGGAGAAAGCUCCGGCUAAAUACGUG